AACGAGCAAGAAGAGAAACGCAUGAGGCUGCUGGACGUGAGCAGACCGUAAAACCCCUUGCGCGUCUGCGUCUUUUCGAAGGCCCUCCUUUCUCUAUACACCUUCACUGGGAUGAGCUCUACCGCCAGGGCUUCGUACUCGUCCCCGGAGUACACGCACUGCAUUCGCGAUUCGCGCUUUCGCCACAACGUCUACGAGCCUGAGGCGGACACAUUUCUCUUUCUCGAGGCUCUCGACAAGGAUGCCGAGCUUCUCCGCUCCAUUCAACCAGACCGCUGCGUGGAGGUCGGGUGCGGCUCCGGCACUGUCAUCACACAUCUCCGGUGUCUACUAAUGCCAUCCGUCGCAGCAGCAGCCACACAGGAAAUUGGUGCAGAAAAGCCUGAUCUCUGCUGCCGCGCGAGCGGCACCCGCAGCACUGUUGGCGGACCAAUGUUCUGUGCUGUGGAUGUGAACCCGCUGGCUCUCGAGGCCACCGCAAUCACCUGGACGGAAACCCUUCUCAAGUACUUUAGGGAGACGGUUUUGACCGACUUCUACGAGCGUAUAUUUCAGAGUGCCGUUCCAACCUCGCUCGCUGCUCCAGUGGUGCUCUCGGCCGAGGGGGUUGCGCCACCAUCACUGCGUGUGGAUGCCGACGACGUGACAUCUUCUGCGCUGUCGGCUUCGACCUUUUGCCUUCAUCGUUUCCACGGCGAUCUCUUAAACGCUCUGCCUCGUGGGAACUCGGCGUCUGCGCUGUUCGAUGUCGUCCUCUUCAACCCCCCGUACGUCCCAACCUCGCUCGAGGAGUUACAGGAUGCCAUAGCCCAAAGGGACGUGAUCACCACAGCGUGGUGCGGCGGGCCGCGAGGACGCGUUGUGCUCGACCGGUUCCUGCGUCAGCUGCCUUCCGUUCUCUCACGGCGCGGUGUGUGCUACCUGGUGCUUAUCAAGGAAAACAAUGCGACGGAUGUGGUGGCGUUUGCGCAGACUACGUUUCGCGAGCACCUGCGUUGCAGCGGGACGGAGACUGUGAAGGAUGAGGACGACAUGCUUGAGGCCUCGGAGGUGACGGCGCGCUACACGGGCGAACAUUUAAGCGUGUACCGACUGCGCUACUUGCCCCGAUUUCAAACGCCAUGAAGGGCGCGUACUCCAACGUGCGAGACGGCACAUCCUCAUGCGCUGACAUUUUCUCUCCCUGCUGGCCACCUCCCAGCGACGCAAAGCAGAACGACCCAGAGGUGCGAGGCCAUUUUUCGACCUUUCCUGCGAGUGCAUGGCGCUUCGCUUUUUCGUUUCCGCGUCCAUCUGCGGCUAUCCGCGUGCACGUGAUCUAGAAGGAUAAGCGCGACGCGCGCAGACACUCGUAAGAAAGUACGGCAAGGUCGAUUCGAAUCAUGCCACACCCACGGUUUCACCACAGUGCCGCCUCCCUGAGCACGCUUCUGCCCACAUUGUUGCAUUGCCAGGCAUUUAUCCACAGGACCCUGCGCACGCGCUUCGCGUUCGAUGGGAAUCCGUUUCGCCAUUGCAUCAUCACCCUGCUCGACAUGUCUCUGUUGCAUCUGUGAGGUGUGCGCGUGUCUUCUGUACACGCGCAGCACAUCUCCUUCCUCUCCUCCAUCUAUCCGCCCCCUCACGCCGCUUUGUUGCCUGCAUACGCAUUCGCGAAG
This 1658-nucleotide unclassified non-coding RNA is filed under the name Leishmania donovani. RNAcentral's name for it is "gene:LdHU3.32.2760(CDS-product:eRF1_methyltransfe rase_catalytic_subunit_putative)". Lineage: Eukaryota; Euglenozoa; Kinetoplastea; Trypanosomatida; Trypanosomatidae. The record is from RNAcentral.